This 253-nucleotide ribosomal RNA is filed under the name uncultured bacterium. RNAcentral's name for it is "partial 16S ribosomal RNA". It matches the Rfam family "Bacterial small subunit ribosomal RNA", at positions 524 to 776 of the family's 1533-position model. The record is from RNAcentral.
UACGGAGGGGGACUAGCGUUGUUCGGAAUUACUGGGCGUAAAGCGCACGUAGGCGGCUUUCUAAGUCGGAGGUGAAAUCCUGGAGCUCAACUCCAGAACUGCCUUCGAUACUGGAGCUUGAGUCCGGGAGAGGUGAGUGGAACUGCGAGUGUAGAGGUGAAAUUCGUAGAUAUUCGGAAGAACACCAGUGGCGAAGGCGGCUCACUGGCCCGGUACUGACGCUGAGGUGCGAAAGCGUGGGGGAGCAAACAGG